GAUGAACGCUGGCGGCGUGCUUAACACAUGCAGGUCGAACGAUGAAGCCCAGCUUGCUGGGCGGAUUAGUGGCGAACGGGUGAGUAACACGUGAGUAACCUGCCCUUGACUCUGGGAUAAGCCCGGGAAACUGGGUCUAAUACCGGAUAGGAGCGCCUGUCGCAUGACGGGUGCUGGAAAGAUCUUUCGGUCAUGGAUGGACUCGCGGCCUAUCAGCUUGUUGGUGAGGUAACGGCUCACCAAGGCGACGACGGGUAGCCGGCCUGAGAGGGUGACCGGCCACACUGGGACUGAGACACGGCCCAGACCCCUACGGGAGGCAGCAGUGGGGAAUAUUGCACAAUGGGCGAAAGCCUGAUGCAGCGACGCCGCGUGAGGGAUGACGGCCUUCGGGUUGUAAACCUCUUUCAGCAGGGAAGAAGCGAAAGUGACGGUACCUGCAGAAGAAGCACCGGCUAACUACGUG
This 466-nucleotide ribosomal RNA is filed under the name uncultured bacterium. Its description in RNAcentral is "partial 16S ribosomal RNA". It matches the Rfam family "Bacterial small subunit ribosomal RNA", at positions 28 to 507 of the family's 1533-position model. The record is from RNAcentral.